RNAcentral lists this ribosomal RNA (806 nucleotides) under marine sediment metagenome. RNAcentral's name for it is "LSU rRNA". It matches the Rfam family "Bacterial large subunit ribosomal RNA", at positions 483 to 1291 of the family's 2925-position model. The record is from RNAcentral.
ACCGAUAGUGAACCAGUACCGUGAGGGAAAGGUGAAAAGAACCCCUGUUAGGGGAGUGAAAUAGUACCUGAAACCGUAUGCCUACAAGCAGUCGGAGCCUUGAUUCGUCAGGGUGACGGCGUGCCUUUUGCAUAAUGAGCCGGCUAGUUAUUCUAUGCGGCAAGGUUAAGCUCGGUGACGAGCGGAGCCAUAGCGAAAGCGAGUCUGAAUAGGGCGUUGAGUCGUAUGGAAUAGACGCGAAGCUGAGUGAUCUAUCCUUGGCCAGGAUGAACUCCAGGUAACACUGGAGGAAGGUCCGAACCGCUACAGGUUGAAAACUGUUCGGAUGAGCUGAGGAUAGGGGUGAAAGGCCAAUCAAACUCAGUGAUAGCUCGUUCUCUCCGAAAUAGCUUUAGGGCUAGCCUCGUAUGAUUGGUAAUGGGGGUAGAGCACUGGAUGGCCUAGGGCUUGGAAACUUGUACCGAAUCCAACCAAACUCCGAAUCCCAUUAACCACAGUACGGGAGUCAGACUACGGGGGCUAAGCUCCGUGGUCAAAAGGGAAACAGCCCAGACCGUCAGCUAAGGUCCCUAAAUGCAAGCUAAGUGGGCAAGGAUGUGAGGAGACCAAGACAACCAGGAGGUUGGCUUAGAAGCAGCCACCCUUUAAAGAAAGCGUAACAGCUCACUGGUCAAGUGUCUUUGCGCCGACAAUGUAACGGGGCUCAAGCUUGCUACCGAAGCUACGGAUCCUCUCGAGGAUGGUAGGAGAGCAUUCCAAUCUGGCUGAAGCCUCGAUGUAAGUCGGGGUGGACGGGUUGGAAGAGA